UCAAUAAAGGAGUGUGACCUGGAAGUUGU
Molecule: non-coding RNA, 29 nt
Filed under: Mus musculus (house mouse)
Lineage: Eukaryota; Metazoa; Chordata; Mammalia; Rodentia; Muridae
Source: RNAcentral